GCCCAGGUAGCUCAGUUGGUAGAGCAGGGGAUUGAAAAUCCCCGUGUCGGUGGUUCGAUUCCGCCCCUGGGCACCA
Molecule: transfer RNA, 76 nt
Filed under: Dongia soli
Lineage: Bacteria; Pseudomonadati; Pseudomonadota; Alphaproteobacteria; Rhodospirillales; Dongiaceae
Also listed under: 1 other name
Description: tRNA-Phe
Rfam family: tRNA
About the family: Transfer RNA (tRNA) molecules are approximately 80 nucleotides in length. Their secondary structure includes four short double-helical elements and three loops (D, anti-codon, and T loops).
Source: RNAcentral